CCUACGGGUGGCAGCAGUGAGGAAUAUUGGUCAAUGGACGCAAGUCUGAACCAGCCAAGUAGCGUGCAGGAUGACGGCCCUCCGGGUUGUAAACCUCUUUUGUCAGGGAGCAACGCCGGCUACGUGUAGCCGGACUGAGAGUACCUGAAGAAAAAGCAUCGGCUAACUCCGUGCCAGCAGCCGCGGUAAUACGGAGGAUGCGAGCGUUAUCCGGAUUUAUUGGGUUUAAGGGGUUCGUAGGCGGAAUGCCAAGUCAGCGGUAAAAUCGGGGGGCUCAACCUGGCUCCGCCGAUGAAACUGGCGUUCUUGAGUGCAGGAGAGGUAAGCGGAAUGCGUGGUGUAGCGGUGGAAUGCUUAGAGAUCAUACAGAACACCGGUUGCGAAGGCAGCUUACCAAGCUACUUCUGACGUUGAGGCACGAAAGCGUGGGGAGCAAACAGGAUUAGAUACCCCGGUAGUC
This 460-nucleotide ribosomal RNA is filed under the name uncultured bacterium. RNAcentral describes it as "partial 16S ribosomal RNA". It matches the Rfam family "Bacterial small subunit ribosomal RNA", at positions 338 to 795 of the family's 1533-position model. The record is from RNAcentral.